RNAcentral lists this ribosomal RNA (108 nucleotides) under Microcebus murinus (gray mouse lemur). The record is from RNAcentral. Lineage: Eukaryota; Metazoa; Chordata; Mammalia; Primates; Cheirogaleidae.
GUCUAUGGCCGUACCACACUGCGCCUCAUCUCGUCUGAUCUCGGAAGCUAAGCAGGGUCGGGCCUGGUCAGUACUUGGAUGGGAGACAUACAAGACUUUUCAAAGCCU